Molecule: ribosomal RNA, 300 nt
Filed under: Triticum aestivum (bread wheat)
Lineage: Eukaryota; Viridiplantae; Streptophyta; Magnoliopsida; Poales; Poaceae
Description: partial small subunit ribosomal RNA
Source: RNAcentral
AUGCUGGCAGAGCAGACGGAGCGGCUGCGGCUGUCUUCUAUCCUUGCUUAUGAGGCGGAGGAGAAGGAAUACGACGCGCCGGAGCAGCCGGAGCGGCGGCGGGUCUCUUCCGCCCUUGCCGACGAGGCGGAGAAGGAGGAGGCUGGCUGCUCUGGCGCGCCGGCGCAGGCGGAGAAGGAGGAGGAGUGCCGCCACGCGCCGGAGAAGGAGGCUGAGUGCCCUGAUCACUCACCGGAGGAGGAGGCGGAGGAGGAGGCGGAGUGCCCUUACUCGCCGGAGCCGUCCAGUUCGGAAGGUUGA